UACGGAGGAUCCAAGCGUUAUCCGGAUUUAUUGGGUUUAAAGGGUGCGCAGGCGGAAGAUUAAGUCGGCGGUGAAAUUUUGCAGCUCAACUGUAAAAGUGCCUUCGAAACUGGUUUUCUUGAGUGUGGAUGAAGUAGGCGGAAUUUGUGGUGUAGCGGUGAAAUGCAUAGAUAUCACGAGGAACUCCGAUUGCGAAGGCAGCUUACUAAACCAUAACUGACGCUCAGGCACGAAGGCGUGGGGAUCAAACAGGAUUAGAUACCCUGGUAGU
Molecule: ribosomal RNA, 271 nt
Filed under: uncultured prokaryote
Description: partial 16S ribosomal RNA
Rfam family: Bacterial small subunit ribosomal RNA
Source: RNAcentral